Molecule: ribosomal RNA, 298 nt
Filed under: uncultured bacterium
Lineage: Bacteria
Description: partial 16S ribosomal RNA
Rfam family: Bacterial small subunit ribosomal RNA
Source: RNAcentral
AGUGAACGCUGGCGGUAGGCCUAACACAUGCAAGUCGAACGGCAGCACAGCAGUAGCAAUACUGUGGGUGGCGAGUGGCGGACGGGUGAGGAAUACAUCGGAAUCUACCUUUUCGUGGGGGAUAACGUAGGGAAACUUACGCUAAUACCGCAUAAGACCUUCGGGUGGAAAGACCGGGGACCGUUCGGGCCGUCGGCGCGGAUAGAUGAGCCGAUGUCGGAUUAGCUUGUUGGCGGGGUAAAACGGACCCACCAAGGCGACGAUCCGUAGCUGGUCUGAGAGGAUGAUCAGCCACACU